RNAcentral lists this long non-coding RNA (320 nucleotides) under Durio zibethinus. Its description in RNAcentral is "long non-coding RNA (DZIB_LNC000248)". Lineage: Eukaryota; Viridiplantae; Streptophyta; Magnoliopsida; Malvales; Malvaceae. The record is from RNAcentral.
UUCGAUCUUCCUUUGAAAUCUCUGGAGGUCGUGCUCUCUCUCCCAGCUGGUUUCUUCUAGGCCUAGUCCCUCCCACUUUACUAAGUACUCCCGAACUAGUCUUCGAGAUAUCUUGGUUUCCCUGUCAGCUAAGAUCUCUUGGACUCGACGCUCUGAGGGUGGUUUCAUGGUGAUGGCGGCUCUGGUUGGCUCUCUUCGACCAGCAUUUGUAGGAUCUGCAUGGAAUGGCUUCAAGUUGCUCACAUGAAAUACUGGGUGCACCUUCAUCCACUUUGGAGGGUCGAUUUUGUAGGAAGCAUUCCCCACCUUGGAAAGGACCC